This 468-nucleotide ribosomal RNA is filed under the name uncultured bacterium. Its description in RNAcentral is "partial 16S ribosomal RNA". It matches the Rfam family "Bacterial small subunit ribosomal RNA", at positions 28 to 507 of the family's 1533-position model. The record is from RNAcentral.
GACGAACGCUGGCGGCGUGCUUAACACAUGCAAGUCGAACGGAAAGGCCCUGCUUUUGUGGGGUGCUCGAGUGGCGAACGGGUGAGUAACACAUGAGUAACCUGCCCUUGACUUUGGGAUAACUUCAGGAAACUGGGGCUAAUACCGGAUAGGAGCUCCUGCUGCAUGGUGGGGGUUGGAAAGUUUCGGCGGUUGGGGAUGGACUCGCGGCUUAUCAGCUUGUUGGUGGGGUAGUGGCUUACCAAGGCUUUGACGGGUAGCCGGCCUGAGAGGGUGACCGGCCACAUUGGGACUGAGAUACGGCCCAGACUCCUACGGGAGGCAGCAGUGGGGAAUAUUGCACAAUGGGCGGAAGCCUGAUGCAGCAACGCCGCGUGCGGGAUGACGGCCUUCGGGUUGUAAACCGCUUUCGCCUGUGACGAAGCGUGAGUGACGGUAAUGGGUAAAGAAGCAACGGCUAACUACGUG